This 685-nucleotide ribosomal RNA is filed under the name uncultured Polynucleobacter sp. RNAcentral's name for it is "bacterial SSU rRNA". It matches the Rfam family "Bacterial small subunit ribosomal RNA", at positions 97 to 779 of the family's 1533-position model. Lineage: Bacteria; Pseudomonadati; Pseudomonadota; Betaproteobacteria; Burkholderiales; Burkholderiaceae. The record is from RNAcentral.
GGCGAACGGGUGAGUAAUACAUCGGAACGUACCUUAUCGUGGGGGAUAACGCAGCGAAAGUUGCGCUAAUACCGCAUACGCCCUGAGGGGGAAAGCGGGGGACCGUAAGGCCUCGCGCGAUUAGAGCGGCCGAUGUCUGAUUAGCUUGUUGGUGAGGUAAAAGCUCACCAAGGCGAUGAUCAGUAGCUGGUCUGAGAGGACGAUCAGCCACACUGGGACUGAGACACGGCCCAGACUCCUACGGGAGGCAGCAGUGGGGAAUUUUGGACAAUGGGGGCAACCCUGAUCCAGCAAUGCCGCGUGAGUGAAGAAGGCCUUCGGGUUGUAAAGCUCUUUUGUCAGGGAAGAAACAGCAGCUCUAACACAGUCUGCGAAUGACGGUACCUGAAGAAUAAGCACCGGCUAACUACGUGCCAGCAGCCGCGGUAAUACGUAGGGUGCGAGCGUUAAUCGGAAUUACUGGGCGUAAAGCGUGCGCAGGCGGUUAUACAAGACAGGCGUGAAAUCCCCGGGCUUAACCUGGGAAUGGCGUCUGUGACUGUAUAGCUAGAGUAUGUCAGAGGGGGGUAGAAUUCCACGUGUAGCAGUGAAAUGCGUAGAGAUGUGGAGGAAUACCAAUGGCGAAGGCAGCCCCCUGGGAUAAUACUGACGCUCAUGCACGAAAGCGUGGGGAGCAAACAGGAUU